This 76-nucleotide transfer RNA is filed under the name Enterobacter cloacae. RNAcentral describes it as "tRNA-Lys". It matches the Rfam family "tRNA". From Rfam's summary of the family: Transfer RNA (tRNA) molecules are approximately 80 nucleotides in length. Their secondary structure includes four short double-helical elements and three loops (D, anti-codon, and T loops). Further hydrogen bonds mediate the characteristic L-shaped molecular structure. tRNAs have two regions of fundamental functional importance: the anti-codon, which is responsible for specific mRNA codon recognition, and the 3' end, to which the tRNAs corresponding amino acid is attached (by aminoacyl-tRNA synthetases). tRNAs cope with the degeneracy of the genetic code in two manners: having more than one tRNA (with a specific anti-codon) for a particular amino acid; and 'wobble' base-pairing, i.e. permitting non-standard base-pairing at the 3rd anti-codon position. The record is from RNAcentral. RNAcentral also lists the same sequence under 1 other name. Lineage: Bacteria; Pseudomonadati; Pseudomonadota; Gammaproteobacteria; Enterobacterales; Enterobacteriaceae.
GGGUCGUUAGCUCAGUUGGUAGAGCAGUUGACUUUUAAACAAUUGGUCGCAGGUUCGAAUCCUGCACGACCCACCA